This 497-nucleotide ribosomal RNA is filed under the name uncultured bacterium. RNAcentral's name for it is "partial 16S ribosomal RNA". It matches the Rfam family "Bacterial small subunit ribosomal RNA", at positions 28 to 507 of the family's 1533-position model. The record is from RNAcentral.
GACGAACGCUGGCGGCGUGCCUAAUACAUGCAAGUUGAGCGCUGAAGGUUGGUACUUGUACCAACUGGAUGAGCAGCGAACGGGUGAGUAACGCGUGGGGAAUCUGCCUUUGAGCGGGGGACAACAUUUGGAAACGAAUGCUAAUACCGCAUAAAAACUUUAAACACAAGUUUUAAGUUUGAAAGAUGCAAUUGCAUCACUCAAAGAUGAUCCCGCGUUGUAUUAGCUAGUUGGUGAGGUAAAGGCUCACCAAGGCGAUGAUACAUAGCCGACCUGAGAGGGUGAUCGGCCACAUUGGGACUGAGACACGGCCCAAACUCCUACGGGAGGCAGCAGUAGGGAAUCUUCGGCAAUGGACGAAAGUCUGACCGAGCAACGCCGCGUGAGGGAAGAAGGUUUUCGGAUCGCAAAACUCUGUUGGUAGAGAAGAACGUUGGUGAGAGUGGAAAGCUCAUCAAGUGACGGUAACUACCCAGAAAGGGACGGCUAACUACGUG